Molecule: small RNA, 128 nt
Filed under: Salmonella enterica subsp. enterica serovar Infantis
Lineage: Bacteria; Pseudomonadati; Pseudomonadota; Gammaproteobacteria; Enterobacterales; Enterobacteriaceae
Also listed under: 36 other names
Description: RtT sRNA
Rfam family: RtT RNA
About the family: This family represents a bacterial cis-regulatory element known as RtT RNA.
Source: RNAcentral
UUGCUAUCUGCGAUAUGGAAGAUUCGAACCUGCCGCAGGUUCGGGUCGAACGCAGUGAGACAACGGAGCCGUUUACGGCGACGGCCCGUAGGGCGAGGCGAAGCCGAGUCAUCCUGCACGACCCACCA